GAUAAGAAGUCAUCUCAUCUUGCAUUUGUUUUUGCUAACCUUUUUAGUUUUUAUAAUCUGGUUCAAUCCGUCUUUUUUUGGUUUGAUUAUAAUUUUAUAUUAAAUUCAAUGUGCUUUUUUAAUCUACUGUUUUUGCCCUGAAAACGCUAAUAAUCAACACAAUUCAAUUGAAAAUAUCUACUAACAUCUUUAUGUGAUCAAAAUGCUGGUUCAAAUUGUAAAGCCAACCAUUGUUGGGGAUUAAUUUUGGAAUGCUAAUUAUCUCACUUGUUUAUGGCUAAAGGUGAAGUUGUAAUAAAGCAAGUGGAGGUCAUAGGAUAAGCCGUCUUUUUUCAAGCUUUCAAUUAUGAAGUUUAUGUACUUGUUUCCUUAAAUUGAAUUGGUUCCUCGUUUAAUUGCUGUUAAAAAGACUCAUUGGUGGUCUCAUUUAAGAAAAGCCUAAAUUUUUGUUUUGUCACUGAUGAUGGAUAGAAACUGGGAAAAGCGAAAAAAAAGCUGAUGCUGUUUACUGAUGAAAUUACUGAAGAUGGUGAUGAUGUUGGGAAAGAAGAAGGCGGAGGAGGAGGAGGAGGAGGUGGAGAAGGUAGGAAAAGGAUGGGAGAGGUGUUCCACUUUCUCUCUUCUUAUUCCUUUUGUUAUCCAGUGCAAGGAAUUUGAGAAUGGAUUGCCUUUAGCCUUAUUUCCCUUUGCUUGUUGACCAUCAGUCUAAUCAUAUUAAAGAUUCAAAUUGCCGACAGAAUGGUUAAUCAACAAUUGAAACUGUUGACCAAACUUCCAUUGGUUAUUAUUAUUAAAGGAACCAGACAUCAAACAAACAAACAUCAUUAACAAUAUAACAACAACGGCAAAAACAGCAAUCUCAAUAGCUAACAGCAACAACAACAACUGUAAACAUCUUCGAACAACUGGAUAUUAUUUAUACAUUAUUCAAAGUGGCGGUUACUUGAAGAGUAACAUUUAACAUUCAUUUACCAUUAUUUAAA
Molecule: long non-coding RNA, 983 nt
Organism: Tetranychus urticae (two-spotted spider mite)
Lineage: Eukaryota; Metazoa; Arthropoda; Arachnida; Trombidiformes; Tetranychidae
Source: RefSeq, a predicted model, not a curated record